AUUGAACGCUGGCGGCAUGCCUUACACAUGCAAGUCGAACGGUAACAGGUCUUCGGAUGCUGACGAGUGGCGAACGGGUGCGUAAUACAUCGGAACGUGCCCAGACGUGGGGGAUAACGAGGCGAAAGCUUUGCUAAUACCGCAUACGAUCUAAGGAUGAAAGCAGGGGACCGCAAGGCCUUGUGCGUUUGGAGCGGCCGAUGGCAGAUUAGGUAGUUGGUGGGAUAAAAGCUUACCAAGCCGACGAUCUGUAGCUGGUCUGAGAGGACGACCAGCCACGCUGGGACUGAGACACGGCCCAGACUCCUACGGGAGGCAGCAGUGGGGAAUUUUGGACAAUGGGCGAAAGCCUGAUCCAGCAAUGCCGCGUGCAGGAUGAAGGCCUUCGGGUUGUAAACUGCUUUUGUACGGAACGAAAAGGCUCUGGCUAAUACCUGGGGCACAUGACGGUACCGUAAGAAUAAGCACCGGCUAACUACGUG
This 482-nucleotide ribosomal RNA is filed under the name uncultured bacterium. Its description in RNAcentral is "partial 16S ribosomal RNA". It matches the Rfam family "Bacterial small subunit ribosomal RNA", at positions 30 to 507 of the family's 1533-position model. The record is from RNAcentral.